Non-coding RNA from Salvia hispanica, 195 nucleotides. The record is from RefSeq and is a predicted model, not a curated record. NCBI's taxonomy places the organism in Eukaryota, Viridiplantae, Streptophyta, Magnoliopsida, Lamiales, Lamiaceae.
AAAUGAUUCUUUGAUGCAACAGGUUAACAGCCUACGAGAAGAGCUGCAACUCUUGGCAUCAAAUAGAUCUGUUACAAUUGUUACCGGAGAACGAUCAGCAUCUGGUAAAUAUGGAAUGGUAAUUAUUACUAUAGUUGCUGGAUAUGGCUACAUUUGGUGGAAGGGUUGGAAGAUUUCGAUAUGAUGUUUGCAACA